UCCUGGCCUAAAUAUAAGCUGGACAAUAUAAACAACUGUUUAAAAUCCAAAGAACUUGGCGGCGUUCAAACACCUCAGGGGAACCUGUCCCUUAAUUCGAUAAUCCACGACUGCUCAUCCUACUUUAGCCUUAUCAGUCAGUGUACUGCCGUCAUAAGCAUACCUUAAAAAGCCCCAGUAUGCAACAAUGCCACACAUUUAUGUCAGGUCAAAGUGCUGCCAAUAAGUAGGUGGAGAUGGGUUACAUCCUCAACUAAGCUAACCAUAUAAACUUCAAAAAGUUUACCAAAGUUGGACUUGAUNGUAAUGAGUAUCACNUAAUACCCAUGAACCUGAAUCUAGAACGUGCACAUAUCGCCCGUCACUCUCGUCGAAAGAUG
Molecule: ribosomal RNA, 380 nt
Filed under: Doliodrilus tener
Lineage: Eukaryota; Metazoa; Annelida; Clitellata; Tubificida; Naididae
Description: partial 12S ribosomal RNA
Source: RNAcentral